This 497-nucleotide ribosomal RNA is filed under the name uncultured bacterium. Its description in RNAcentral is "partial 16S ribosomal RNA". It matches the Rfam family "Bacterial small subunit ribosomal RNA", at positions 28 to 507 of the family's 1533-position model. The record is from RNAcentral.
GAUGAACGCUGGCGGCGUGCCUAAUACAUGCAAGUCGAGCGAACAGACGAGGAGCUUGCUCCUUUGACGUUAGCGGCGGACGGGUGAGUAACAUGUGGGUAACCUACCUAUAAGACUGGGAUAACUUCGGGAAACCGGAGCUAAUACCGGAUAAUAUUUCGAACCGCAUGGUUCGAUAGUGAAAGAUGGCUCUGCUAUCACUUAUAGAUGGACCUGCGCCGUAUUAGCUAGUUGGUAAGGUAACGGCUUACCAAGGCAACGAUACGUAGCCGACCUGAGAGGGUGAUCGGCCACACUGGAACUGAGACACGGUCCAGACUCCUACGGGAGGCAGCAGUAGGGAAUCUUCCGCAAUGGGCGAAAGCCUGACGGAGCAACGCCGCGUGAGUGAUGAAGGUCUUCGGAUCGUAAAACUCUGUUAUUAGGGAAGAACAAACGUGUAAGUAACUGUGCACGUCUUGACGGUACCUAAUCAGAAAGCCACGGCUAACUACGUG